UGGCAAGCCUCUUUGUAUAGA
Molecule: unclassified non-coding RNA, 21 nt
Filed under: Mus musculus (house mouse)
Lineage: Eukaryota; Metazoa; Chordata; Mammalia; Rodentia; Muridae
Description: oocyte_clustered_small_RNA4178
Source: RNAcentral